AAGCACGGUUGAAUGAGCAUCAACAUCAGUAGCACCCGGCUUUCCACUUGAUGUUAAGCCCCUAUCGUGGGGAUAGUGAAUUGGGUAACAUUCGAGAUUAGCUAAAAGCGAAAGGCCUCGCCUAUAUCUGCGGGAGCUACACAUGCAUCCUCACUAAUCCUCCUUAGCAGCGGGUAGAAGGCGUUCCACUCUACACCUUGGCAAAAAUGGGUCUUUGUCUCGCCAUGAAUUGAUCUUCCGUUUGGAGCACCUUCGCAAGACCAAUAGUCGGCCCAGCAAUAGCCAAUAAGCUGACUCCUCCUCUCUCAUCCUCUGUCACUCAUCACAGAAGUCAGUGUUUUCAUCUUGCUCCUCCACAUGGCUAGUGACACGGCGAGUACCCCAGGAGGUGUGGUCGCAUGGGAGGGGUCGGAGGCCGACCUGACAUGGAAGCCGGGUUGUUGGAGCACUCCUCAGCUAUAGAGGAGGGGCGUGGGUUAGGAGGCCUGCCUUGAAGCAAGACGCCCCGAUUGCUCAUGCCGGUGAGGGACUUAAGCUCUUUCUACUCAGCAACUAGUUCCUGAAAUAAGGUAAUGCGAUGCUCCAACUCAUCGAGGGGCAUAUCUUGAAGGCUGUCCGAAAGGGUUGAUGUUUGAAUUGUCCUCCACUUUAGGAAGGGCCCCAUCUUCUAGGGAAUAUUGUUUGGGGGCUAAGGAUGCUUUUCUAAUAGUGUUGUGAGAUUAGGUAACACAAACACUUAAACCAUCCUCUCUUCAAGAAAGAGGCGUGUAGGUGAAGCAUGUUGACCACUCUAGCAAGCGGGGGGAUGUUAGAGGAUUGGGAAUCUAAGGGUCUUGGUGGCUUCAGAAACUAAGUGAGAGGUGGGGGUCCUAGUGAAAUGUUUUGUUCCCUAGUCACUCUUUGUCAGUUGCUUGAGAAAAGAAUUUCGAUUCAAGUAAUCAAGAAGAAAAUACAAGCAAAUGCGAGGAAGAUGAAAAGGGAAGAGAAUGAGAAAGCUACGACCAUUGUGGAAAUCUAGACUACAUAAGGAAGGAUUUAAAGUCAAAGAAAAACAAGAGGCUAUUUUGUAAUAGGCUUUUAUCCAAGCUUACUUGAUGGAUAAGCUAUGACACUUCUAAAAGAAAGUGCGAUCUUGACAACUCAACUAUUGCAUCAAUGACACUAAACAUCGAAAAAGGAACAAUUUACACUAAGCAUGUAUUGAAAAUCAAAGCUAUUCUAUCCGCAUGCGAGAUCAUAAAUCACUUUCUCCCGCUACUCAGAUCACCACCCAUCCCCAAAUCAGUACCGUGCGAAGGUGGAUUAUUAGA
RNAcentral lists this long non-coding RNA (1310 nucleotides) under Amborella trichopoda. RNAcentral describes it as "long non-coding RNA (ATRI_LNC000701)". The record is from RNAcentral. Lineage: Eukaryota; Viridiplantae; Streptophyta; Magnoliopsida; Amborellales; Amborellaceae.